RNAcentral lists this ribosomal RNA (557 nucleotides) under uncultured bacterium. RNAcentral describes it as "bacterial SSU rRNA". It matches the Rfam family "Bacterial small subunit ribosomal RNA", at positions 973 to 1528 of the family's 1533-position model. The record is from RNAcentral.
ACCAGGACUUGACAUCCCGCUGAUCGGUCUAGAGAUAGACCUUCCCUUCGGGGCAGCGGUGACAGGUGGUGCAUGGUUGUCGUCAGCUCGUGUCGUGAGAUGUUGGGUUAAGUCCCGCAACGAGCGCAACCCUUACAUUGUGUUGCCAUCAUUUGGUUGGGCACUCACAAUGGACUGCCGGUGACAAACCGGAGGAAGGUGGGGAUGACGUCAAAUCAUCAUGCCCCUUAUGUCCUGGGCUACACACGUGCUACAAUGGGCGGUACAAAGGGAUGCGAGACCGUGAGGUGGAGCUAAUCUCAUAAAGCCGUUCGUAGUUCGGAUUGCAGGCUGCAACUCGCCUGCAUGAAGCCGGAAUUGCUAGUAAUCGCGGAUCAGCAUGCCGCGGUGAAUUCGUUCCCGGGCCUUGUACACACCGCCCGUCACACCAUGGGAGUUGGCAACACCCGAAGUCGGUGAGGUAACCUUUAUGGAGCCAGCCGCCUAAGGUGGGGUCGAUGANCUGGGGUGAAGUCGUAANCAAGGUAGCCGUAUCGGAAGGUGCGGCUGGAACACCU